CUCAACCUCAUGCUGUCCUCUAUUACUCACAGAGAGCAUCCAAAGGUGGUCUUCUCAUAGCUGAAGCUACCGGUGUCUCUGACACUGCUCAAGGGUAUCCAGACACACCAGGUAUAUGGACUAAAGAGCAUGUCGAGGCGUGGAAACCUAUUGUGGAUGCUGUUCAUGCCAAAGGUGCUACAUUCUUCUGUCAGAUUUGGCAUGUUGGAAGAGUUUCUAAUUCUAGUAUGUAUUUAAUUUUAUCUAAUGAGCAAUUAAUUGACAUAUUUUUCUAAUUUUUCAAGUAUUACUUUUAGGUGGGAAUGAAAUUUUUGUUAGAGAUGAUACUUAUUUUAUAGGUCAAAAUGCAUCUAAAGGUUCUUUUAAGUUUUUUCGUUUUUCCCAAAGUCGUCCUUUAAGUUUCAAAAGUCCCAAAGUGAUCCUUUAAGUUUCAAAAGUCUCAAAUAAGUUUUUUUAGUUUUUGAAUCGUUUCAAACAAGUCCUUUUAGAGGAUGAUGGUGAUGAUACAGAUGAUAGCAACAAAGAGCAUCCACCAUUUGCCAUGCUUAAAAAGAUGAGUAAUUUUAAGUGGGUGUUAGGAGCCAGAUUUGGUACCAAGGAUGAGUUCAAGGAAGCAAUUACCAACUAUGCUAUCUACAAUAGGACUUGUUUGAAACAAUUCAAAAACUAAAAGGACUUGUUUGAGACUUUUGAAACUUAAAUGACCACUUUGAGAAAAAUGAAAAACUUAGAGGACCUUUAAAUACAUUUGACCUAUUUUAUAUUCGCCGGUUUAAUUAAUUACAUGUAUUGUAUAUAUUUAUUAAACACAUUUAUAUACAUACACUCUCAAUAUUAUAUGCCUAUAUUACAUACAGUUUGUCAACCAAAUGGGCAAGCACCAAUAUCUUCAACAAACAAACUACUCACACCACAAAUUGGAGGUGAUGGUUUUCAAAUGCCACAAUUCACACAACCGAGGAGGCUAAGAACAGAAGAAAUUCCUAAUAUUGUCAAUGACUUUAGACUUGCUGCAAGAAAUGCUAUUGAAGCUGGUAAAUUCAUUUUUCUUAAAUUUCUCCAUAGUUCAAUUGAUUCAAUUUAAAAGUAUGAACAGAAAUAAUGACGUAAAUUAGAGAGAUAAAAAUUGUUACAAAGGUAUGACAUCUCUAACAUUUUUUCUACUUUGAAUUUUACUCUUUAGUUUAACUUACUAUAAUAGGAGGACAUUUUACAUACUUGUAUGGUGCAAAUUGUAGGUUUUGAUGGGGUUGAAAUCCAUGGAGCUCAUGGCUACCUAGUUGAACAAUUCAUGAAAGAUAAAGCAAACGACAGAACAGAUGAAUAUGGUGGAACCCUUGAAAAUCGUUGUAGAUUUGUUUUGGAAAUUGUUGAAGCUGUUGCAAAUGAGAUAGGUGCAGAAAGAGUUGGAAUAAAAUUAUCACCUUUUGAAAAAUUUGGAGAUUGUGGAGACUCAAAUCCCCAAGAAUUGGGACUUUAUAUGGUGAAUGCCCUCAAUAAAUAUGGUAUUCUUUAUUGUCAUAUGGUGGAACCAAGAAUGGAAAUUCUUGAUGAGAAAACUGAAUGUCAUUAUAGCUUGGUGUCAAUAAGAAAGGUUUUCAAUGGAACUUUUAUGGUUACUGGAGGCUAUGAAAGACAAGAUGGAAUCAAUGCUAUAGCUGAAAAUAGGGCAGAUCUUAUUGCUUAUGGUCGUUUGUUCAUAUCUAAUCCAGAUUUACCAAAGAGAUUUGCACUUAAUGCUCCUCUUAACAAGUAUAAUAGGGAGACAUUCUACACUUCUGAUCCAGUUAUAGGUUAUACUGACUACCCUUCUCUUGAAUAAUUAAACAUAUGAUGUAGCAUCCAAGGGUGCCUACAUUUUUUGCAAUAAUUGUGUCACUGAUAGUUUUAGGUCCCGUGAAGGGAACUUGUAAGAAAUAUAUAUAUAUAUAUAUACCAAAAUAUUUAGCCAUUGAAAUGAGAAUUUUGAUGCUCAUGUUUUUAUAUGUAUUCUUCUCAUACUUUUCUGCUGGGACAAUGCAAAGUCAAUGCUAUGUAGCUAAUAUUUUUUAAUCCCAUAUACGAGCUUUGUGCUAAUAAGAGAGUUAAAUUUAGUAUUGGAAACUUUUCCUUAGAUAUUGCAAUUGAGAAAAAGUCUAAUAUAGUCACGAUCCAAAUCAAAAAGAUUUAGACACAUUCACAUAAAAUAAAAAAUAAAAAAAUAAAUCAGUCAUAUCAAUUAAUUUUAUUUUUAUUUAAAUUUUUCUAUGUCUUGUGAGUGUGCCCAAAUCAUUUUGAUUUAGGGUUGUGCCCAUCUUAGACUUUCUCUGCAAUUGAAUGUUUGAAUUAGUGGUGAAACAUCGGAAUCAUGGUAAAUCCUUGUUAUUUUAGUAAAAAAUAUAUAUACACUAAAUUUGUAAGUUGUAACCGCCACCGUACGUACUAACAUUUUCCAACUAAUCAUAAGCAUCAUUUUAGUACCCAAUACUAUUUUUUCACUAUCUUUUAAAAAGAAGUUUAGAAAAGAAAGUGCGAAAUGUUUUUUAAUGGUAAAUGUUAGCGAUUAAUUUGUAAAUUAAUAUUUCUUCAUUCGUUUAAAUUUGAAUUCAAGACUUUCAACUAUUUAUCUCUUAGUUCAAACCAGUUGAGUUACCUAACUCUCUAUAUAACUUAAAUGUGUAAUUGAUAUUCAUUGCCCCACGUUUAGUGAGACAUUUGCAUGUCUAGCUUUAACAAAUCACAGUGAAAUGAGUUUUGAGACACAAGAAUCAUGGUUUAGAAGUGGAACCGAACAUGCCAUAAAUCAAUAACAUAAACUAAAAGGGAAAAGAAUGAAUCCCAGUCAACCUGAAAAAAAAUUGUUUUAGUACAUUGGGGAUACAAAUCUUUCCAAAUAUGAAUGGAAGAGAUCAAACCUAAACGGGUUAUUAGAGAGGUAUAUAUAGAAAUAUAAUUUUUUAUUUUUUUUAAGACUCACCGGUAGGUUGCCAUUUGUAAAUCUAAGCCGUUGAAUUUUAAACUAUUAAAUUAAUAGUAAAUGAGCAAAUUGAAUCACUUUUUUUUUUUGAGAAAAACUGAAUCACUUGUACACUCUAAAUUAUAAAAGCCACCCUAUAUAUAACUUAUUAAAACAAAAUAAAAAGGCUGGUACAUUUGUCAAGAAAGAAGAGUGGUAAAUAUAUACAAUAUUUUUAAUGGAGAGGUAAAUAAGAAAGAGUAUGUUAACUUAUGUUCUAAGACACAUGUUAAAAUAUUUAAGUUACAUAAAAAUUAAAAAUAUAUAAAAAACAAUUUUUGAACUUUAUUAAAAAGGAUGCCAUACAAUAUUAGCAAGUAUUUUUAGAGCAUUGUUUAAGUCUUUAAAAGUAGUAACUUUUAGGUUUAAUUGCACUUUUGGACCCCUAUCUUUUCAAAAGUUGCGGUUAUGGACCUCUAACUAAUUUAAAUACAAAACAGCCCCCUAUGUUUUGAUUCUUUGGCAGUUUUGGACCCCCAGUCCAUUGUUGACUCGGUCAACGCUGACGUGGCACCCUAAGUGAGGUGUCACGUGUCAAUUUUUUUUUUUUUUGUCUUGGGGGUCCAAAACUGCUAAAGAAUCAAAACAUAGGAGACUGUUUUGUAUUUAAAUUAGUUAGGGGUCUAUAACCGCAACUUUUAGAAAGAUAGGGGUCCAAAAGUGCAAUUAAGCCUAACUUUUACAUAGAAAAUUGUGUAACUAUGACUUUCAUAUGGUUUGACUUGUAUUUUUAAGGCAAAAUUUCCAUUUAUGUGUGUGACUUGUACUCCUUCCGUUUCCCAAUAUUUGUCGUUUUUGGAGAAUAAAUUUGCUUCACUUUACUUGUCUGUCUCUCUCAAGUUUCAAUGCAACAUUAAAUAUUGGUUUGUUAAUAAUAUUUUGGGUUAAAUAUGUUUUUGGUCCUUAUAAAUAUGUCAACUUUUUGUUUUAGUCCCUCUAAAAUUUUCCUUCAACUUUUAGUCCCUAUAAAGUUUUCAAUCUUCACUUUUGGUCCAUCUUUUAAAGUAAACUCAUAUGUAGAAUUCAUAUUAUUUAAUAAAAUUUUCCAGAAAAAUUCAAAAUAUUAUAAGAAUCACUCCAAAAAAAAUUCAGAAUUUUUUAACAAAACAUGAAUUUAAUAUGAAUUUUUAUAUUGUUUAUGGUUAAAAAUUCAUAUUUAAUUUGUGUUUUGUUAAAAAAAAACUAAUUUUUUUUAGGAAUUAUUUUUAGAAUAUUUGACACAUUUCUGCACAAUUUCAUUAAAAAAUACAAAAAUUAAAUUAUAAAUAGGGACCAAAAGUAGUGAUUGAAAAUUUUAUAGGGACUAAAAGUUGAAGGAAAAUUUUAGAGGGACUAAAACGAAAAGUUGACAUUUAUAGGAACCAAAAACAUAUUUAACCCUAAUAUUUUUACCUAUUUAUUGUAGAGAGAAAUAAUAUAAUGAAAUAAUAAAUGAUCAAUAGUAUUAUAGAAAAACACAAAGAAUUUCAUUAAAAAUAACAAAAUUUAUUCAAUUUCUUAGUAUGUGUAAUUUUCUCAAAAGUGAUAAGUAUUGUGAAACAGAUUGAGUAUUUUCAAGGCAAAAUUUCUUUUUAUGAGUUUCUUAAACAAUGCUCUUAAGACACUUGUUAGCAAGAUACUCCCUCCGUUUCACAAUACUUGUCACUUUUGGAGAAUAAUUUUAUUUCAAUUACUAUCACUUUCAAGUUUCAAUGCAACAUUAAUUAUUAGUUUGUCAAUAAUACUCUUAUUUAUUUAUUGUAGAGAGAAAUAACAUGAUGAAAUAAUAAAAGAGAAUGUUAACAAGUGUCUUGAGGGAAUUGGUUAAGUAUCCAAAACAAAUAAGUUUUUAUGAAAAAAUUAUGUAAUCAUUAUUUGAUUAAAAGUAACAUAUUAUAUUUCCAUGACGAUAUUUCUAUUUAUAAAUAAUGCAUUUAUUUCCCUUAGUCAAUUUACAUAUAUGUCCUCAGCCUCGGUGGCUUGAAUUGAUUCGUACUGUAGCAUCCAAUUCCAUCCGGCACGCAUUAUUAAAAUAAUUGACUAAAGGAAAUGUCUCAGCAGUGGGUGCAAGUUGAUGGUGUACGCUUUAGUCUCUCUAGUGGCGGUGGGAUAAAUUCACAAGUUAUUCUUUUAAUCUUUAUGAUCACACGACUAAAUUGUCGACAGCGAUCUACAUUUUGUAAUAAUUAAAAAGAAAAUUGUCAAUCCUUCUAAUUUAACUAAGGGAAAUAAAUGUCUCUUAUCAAGAAAAGUGUUACCCUUCAAAUUAAAAAAAGUAUCUUUCAUGUGUGACUAGAAUUAUCACCGAUCCAUAAUAUUUUGUGUGGUGAUUUCAUUAGUCACCUACUUCUACGAUCAGCAACAAUGGAGUAGUAUUUUGUGAUCAAAAGUAGUCAAAUUGGACUGCGGUGAGGGACCAACUCCAAUGUCAGAGAGAACAUGCAACGCAAUCGCACACGUCACAAUCAACAAUUAUAAACACAAAAGCCGCCACCACUUUCCACUUAUAGUCACUAUAUAUAAAUUACUUACUUCAAUUUAAACUUCACAUUCCAUUCUGUAUCACUUUAAUCAAGUAAUCAAGUAAAAACUAAUAAUGGCUGGUAUUGUUGAAUCUGAUCCAAUUCCACUUCUCACUCCUUACAAAAUGGGAAAAUUCAAUCUAUCUCAUAGGUAUUUUAAUUAUCUUUUCAUUCAUUUAUUCCAUUGCAUUUCAAAGUGCAUCUCAAAUAUAUCAUAUCACUCACUAUGUGUUACUGUAAUUUACUCAUUUCAUUUCAGAGUUGUUUUGGCACCACUCACAAGAAACAGAUCCUAUGGCAAUGUUCCACAACCUCAUGCUAUCCUCUAUUACUCUCAGAGAGCAGCCGGUUCUAACGGAGGUCUUCUCAUAACCGAAGCUACCGGUAUAUCUGACACCGCUCAAGGGUAUCCAGACACGCCAGGUAUUUGGACUAAAGAGCACGUCGAGGCGUGGAAACCUAUUGUGGAUGCUGUCCAUGCCAAAGGUGCUACCUUCUUCUGUCAGAUUUGGCACGUUGGAAGAGUUUCUGAUACUGGUAUGUUUUAUUUCUUCAAAUUAUCCAAGUUUCUUUGCAUGAAGAUACAUGCCUGAAAUAAUUUUGAAAAGACAUAAAACAUAAAUGAGGGAUUUUUAUUGAUUUCAACUUCUUUGAUGUUGCUUGACCUGCAUCUAUCUGUUCUUUUCCCCAACUAUAGUUUU
RNAcentral lists this long non-coding RNA (6197 nucleotides) under Medicago truncatula (barrel medic). Its description in RNAcentral is "long non-coding RNA (MTRU_LNC002710)". The stretch from base 3430 to 3596 matches the Rfam family "MIR2619 microRNA precursor family". The record is from RNAcentral. Lineage: Eukaryota; Viridiplantae; Streptophyta; Magnoliopsida; Fabales; Fabaceae.